Non-coding RNA from Arachis ipaensis, 93 nucleotides. NCBI's taxonomy places the organism in Eukaryota, Viridiplantae, Streptophyta, Magnoliopsida, Fabales, Fabaceae. The record is from RefSeq and is a predicted model, not a curated record.
AACCAAUGAGUUAUAGCUCAAAUGACAUAGUCUCCCCAUACUCAACUAAGAGGUUGCGGGUUCGAGUCUCCUAUCUUUGAUAAAAAAAAAUGA